AGUGGCGGACGGGUGAGUAACGCGUGGAUAACCUGGCCCAUACAGGGGGAUAGCAGUUGGAAACGACUGAUAAUACCGCAUAAGCGCACGGUACCGCAUGGUACAGUGUGAAAAACUCCGGUGGUAUGGGAUGGAUCCGCGUCUGAUUAGGCAGUUGGCGGGGUAACGGCCCACCAAACCGACGAUCAGUAGCCGGCCUGAGAGGGUGAACGGCCACAUUGGGACUGAGACACGGCCCAAACUCCUACGGGAGGCAGCAGUGGGGAAUAUUGCACAAUGGGGGAAACCCUGAUGCAGCGACGCCGCGUGAGCGAAGAAGUAUCUCGGUAUGUAAAGCUCUAUCAGCAGGGAAGAAAAUGACGGUACCUGACUAAGAAGCCCCGGCUAACUACGUGCCAGCAGCCGCGGUAAUACGUAGGGGGCAAGCGUUAUCCGGAUUCAUUGGGCGUAAAGCGCGCGUAGGCGGCCCGGCAGGCCGGGGGUCGAAGCGGGGGGCUCAACCCCCCGAAGCCCCCGGAACCUCCGCGGCUUGGGUCCGGUAGGGGAGGGUGGAACACCCGGUGUAGCGGUGGAAUGCGCAGAUAUCGGGUGGAACACCGGUGGCGAAGGCGGCCCUCUGGGCCGAGACCGACGCUGAGGCGCGAAAGCUGGGGGAGCGAACAGGAUUAGAUACCCUGGUAGUCCCAGCCGUAAACGAUGGACGCUAGGUGUGGGGGGGACGAUCCCCCCGUGCCGCAGCCAACGCAUUAAGCGUCCCGCCUGGGGAGUACGGCCGCAAGGCUAAAACUCAAAGGAAUUGACGGGGGCCCGCACAAGCAGCGGAGCAUGUGGCUUAAUUCGAAGCAACGCGAAGAACCUUACCAGGGCUUGACAUAUGGGUGAAGCGGGGGAGACCCCGUGGCCGAGAGGAGCCCAUACAGGUGGUGCAUGGCUGUCGUCAGCUCGUGUCGUGAGAUGUUGGGUUAAGUCCCGCAACGAGCGCAACCCCCGCCGCGUGUUGCCAUCGGGUGAUGCCGGGAACCCACGCGGGACCGCCGCCGUCAAGGCGGAGGAGGGCGGGGACGACGUCAAGUCAUCAUGCCCCUUAUGCCCUGGGCUGCACACGUGCUACAAUGGCCGGUACAGAGGGAUGCCACCCCGCGAGGGGGAGCGGAUCCCGGAAAGCCGGCCCCAGUUCGGAUUGGGGGCUGCAACCCGCCCCCAUGAAGUCGGAGUUGCUAGUAAUCGCGGAUCAGCAUGCCGCGGUGAAUGCGUUCCCGGGCCUUGUACACACCGCCCGUCA
Molecule: ribosomal RNA, 1282 nt
Filed under: uncultured bacterium
Lineage: Bacteria
Description: bacterial SSU rRNA
Rfam family: Bacterial small subunit ribosomal RNA
Source: RNAcentral